This 686-nucleotide long non-coding RNA is filed under the name Vulpes vulpes (red fox). RNAcentral's name for it is "lncRNA (ENSVVUG00000013992.1)". The record is from RNAcentral. Lineage: Eukaryota; Metazoa; Chordata; Mammalia; Carnivora; Canidae.
GCUGGGAGUUGGGUAACUCUUGUGCUAAGCCUUGGGCAGCUCCACAUUUAUCUCGCUCCGCUCUGCGUGCACACACACAUGCACACACACACACACACACACACACACACACUCCACACGUCUGCCUCAGCUUUGCAAUCCAGUGGCGUGAGCUGCAAGAGAAGCAGAAUUUUCCAGUCUCUCUGCGUCUGUGACUUGGUGGGCCACCAGAAGCCUCGUGCUGGACCAGCCCCUGAACUGGUCUGAUAUCUUUCAAGAAGAAGUGACAUUGGAUAGGCUGGACUAUAAAACUGCUGGCAAGAAGAAAACAUUAGUGGUUGCUACCAUAAAAUCCUACAAUGGAAACUUGAAAAGAAAAAAAUGUGCCAGGCCUACCCUCCUCAAGGGGCCUUAAGACACCUUGAGGAGCUGACUCACUGUAGCCCAAACUUCAGUGGGAACUCCAGAUCACAAGAUAUUCAGGAUUGAAAUGGAUGCCAAGUUUACAGAAUACUCAUCUGGACAAAGAUGGUUGCAUAGAUGGUCAUUUGGAAAGAGAUUACUGGAAGACAUUGCUGCUCUGUGAAUCUGGGAUCCCACUUUUCCUGAACAGAACAAUUGAUAGCAACAAAGCUUCCUUCACACUGAAGACCAGCUCCAGGCAGGAAGAAAUGAAGCACUCCAGGUAAUAAAAUAUAUGCAAGAGA